RNAcentral lists this ribosomal RNA (497 nucleotides) under uncultured bacterium. RNAcentral's name for it is "partial 16S ribosomal RNA". It matches the Rfam family "Bacterial small subunit ribosomal RNA", at positions 28 to 507 of the family's 1533-position model. The record is from RNAcentral.
GAUGAACGCUGGCGGCGUGCCUAAUACAUGCAAGUCGAGCGAACAGACGAGGCGCUUGCUCCUCUGACGUUAGCGGCGGACGGGUGAGUCACAUGUGGAUAACCUACCUAUCAGACUGGUAUAAUUUCGGGAAACCGGCGCUAAUACCGGAUAAUAUAUUGAUCCGCAUUGUUCAAUAGUAAAAGACGGUUUUGCUGUCUCUUAUAGAUGGUUCCGCGCCGCAUUAGCUAGUUGGUAAGGUAACGGCUUACCAAGGCAACGAUGCGUAGCCGACUGGAGAGGGUGGUCGGCCACACGGGAACGGAGACGCGGUCCAGACGCCUACGGGAGGGAGCAGUAGGGAAUCGUACGCAAUGGGCGAAAGCCUGACGGAGCAACGCCGCGUGAGUGAUGAAAGUCUUCGGUGCGUAAAACUCUGUUAUUAGGGAAAAACAAAUGUGGAAGUAACUAUACACGUAUUGACGGUACCUAAUAAGAAAGCCACGGCUAACUACGUG